RNAcentral lists this ribosomal RNA (641 nucleotides) under Symbiodinium sp. U45/1. Its description in RNAcentral is "LSU rRNA". It matches the Rfam family "Eukaryotic large subunit ribosomal RNA", at positions 38 to 673 of the family's 3401-position model. Lineage: Eukaryota; Dinophyceae; Suessiales; Symbiodiniaceae. The record is from RNAcentral.
GCAUAUAAGUAAGCGGAGGAAAAGGAACUAAACAGGAUUCCCUUAGUAAUGGUGAACGAACAGGGAUCAGCUUGGGUUGGAAACCGGGGCUUCUGCCUUGGAUUGCGGCCUUUAGACAUACUACCAACGGCGGCGCGAGCGAAAGCCUCUUGGAACAGUGCGUCUACGUGGGUGAGAAUCCUGUGUUUCGCUUGAUGCCCGCCGUGCACGGUACUUGCUCUCAGAGUCACGCUCCUCGGAAUUGGAGCGUAAAUUGGGUGGUAAAUUUCAUCUGAAGCUAAAUACAGGCUCGAGACCGAUAGCAAACAAGUACCAUGAGGGAAAGAUGAAAAGGACUUUGAAAAGAGAGUUAAAAGUGCUUGAAAUCGCUGAACUGGAAGCGAAUGGAACUAGUGCUCUGGUUGAGAUUGCUGCAAGUGGCUGCGACAUCUGGGCUCUGGAACGCAAGUCCUUUGUCUGGUUUGAAGUAGUUGCUUGUAAUGUGUCUCAGCUUGAACAUCAGCGUCUAUGCAUACGUGAGGAUGGCCCUUAGCUCAUGCUGUGUUGCUGUGGCGAUACUCUUGUGCUUUUGGGAUUCAGGUGUGUGUGGAUUGUUGAUCAAUUAGUUCCAUUCGACCCGUCUUGAAACACGGACCAAGGAG